RNAcentral lists this ribosomal RNA (346 nucleotides) under uncultured soil bacterium. RNAcentral's name for it is "bacterial SSU rRNA". It matches the Rfam family "Bacterial small subunit ribosomal RNA", at positions 26 to 363 of the family's 1533-position model. The record is from RNAcentral.
AGAGUGAACGCUGGCGGUAGGCCUAACACAUGCAAGUCGAACGGCAGCACAGUAGGAGCUUGCUCUUACGGGUGGCGAGUGGCGGACGGGUGAGGAAUACAUCGGAAUCUACCUUUUGGUGGGGGAUAACGUAGGGAAACUUACGCUAAUACCGCAUACGCCCUUCGGGGGAAAGCCGGGGACCAGCAAUGGCCUGGCGCUGAUAGAUGAGCCGAUGUCGGAUUAGCUAGUUGGUGAGGUAAUGGCUCACCAAGGCGACGAUCCGUAGCUGGUCUGAGAGGAUGAUCAGCCACACUGGAACUGAGACACGGUCCAAGACUCCUACGGGAGGCAGCAGUGGGGAAUA